RNAcentral lists this ribosomal RNA (326 nucleotides) under uncultured Enterobacteriaceae bacterium. RNAcentral's name for it is "bacterial SSU rRNA". It matches the Rfam family "Bacterial small subunit ribosomal RNA", at positions 355 to 673 of the family's 1533-position model. Lineage: Bacteria; Pseudomonadati; Pseudomonadota; Gammaproteobacteria; Enterobacterales; Enterobacteriaceae. The record is from RNAcentral.
UGGGGAAUAUUGCACAAUGGGCGCAAGCCUGAUGCAGCCAUGCCGCGUGUAUGAAGAAGGCCUUCGGGUUGUAAAGUACUUUCAGCGGGGAGGAAGGCGAUAAGGUUAAUAACCUUGUCGAUUGACGUUACCCGCAGAAGAAGCACCGGCUAACUCCGUGCCAGCAGCCGCGGUAAUACGGAGGGUGCAAGCGUUAAUCGGAAUUACUGGGCGUAAAGCGCACGCAGGCGGUCUGUCAAGUCGGAUGUGAAAUCCCCCGGGGCUCAACCUGGGAACUGCAUUCGAAACUGGCAGGCUGGAGUCUUGUAGAGGGGUAGGAUUCAGGA